CCCUUAGAUGUCCUGGGCCGCACGCGCGUUACACUGAUGCACUCAACGAGCUUAUAACCUUGGCCGAGAGGCCUGGGCAAUCUUGUUAACGUGCAUCGUGAUAGGGAUAGAUUAUUGAAAUUAUUAAUCUUGAACGAGGAAUUCCUAGUAAACGCAGAUCAUCAAUCUGCAUUGAUUACGUCCCUGCCCUUUGUACACACCGCCCGUCGCACCUACCGAUUGGAUGGUCCGGUGAAGCCUCGGGAUUGUGGUUCUUGCCGCUUUAUUGUGGCGUGACCGCGAGAACUUGUCUAAACCUUAUCAUCUAGAGGAAGGUGAAGUCGUAACA
Molecule: ribosomal RNA, 328 nt
Filed under: uncultured eukaryote
Lineage: Eukaryota
Description: partial 18S ribosomal RNA
Rfam family: Eukaryotic small subunit ribosomal RNA
Source: RNAcentral